This 200-nucleotide ribosomal RNA is filed under the name uncultured bacterium. RNAcentral's name for it is "partial 16S ribosomal RNA". It matches the Rfam family "Bacterial small subunit ribosomal RNA", at positions 8 to 234 of the family's 1533-position model. The record is from RNAcentral.
AGAGUUUGAUCCUGGCUCAGAGCGAACGCUGGCGGCAGGCUUAACACAUGCAAGUCGAACGCCCGUAGCAAUACGGGAGUGGCAGACGGGAGAGUAACACGUGGGAACGUACCCUUCAGUUCGGAACAACCCAGGGAAACUUGGGCUAAUACCGGAUACGUCCGCAAGGAGAAAGAUUUAUCGCUGAAGGAUCGGCCCGC